UACACUCCUGCGGGAGGCAGCAGUGGGGAAUAUUGGACAAUGGGCGAAAGCCUGAUCCAGCAAUGCCGCGUGAGUGAUGAAGGCCUUAGGGUUGUAAAGCUCUUUUACCCGGGAUGAUAAUGACAGUACCGGGAGAAUAAGCCCCGGCUAACUCCGUGCCAGCAGCCGCGGUAAUACGGAGGGGGCUAGCGUUGUUCGGAAUUACUGGGCGUAAAGCGCGCGUAGGCGGCUUUGUAAGUUAGAGGUGAAAGCCCGGAGCUCAACUUCGGAAUUGCCUUUAAGACUGCAUCGCUAGAAUCGUGGAGAGGUGAGUGGAAUUCCGAGUGUAGAGGUGAAAUUCGUAGAUAUUCGGAAGAACACCAGUGGCGAAGGCGACUCACUGGACACGUAUUGACGCUGAGGUGCGAAAGCGUGGGGAGCAAACAGGAUUAGAAACCCCAGUAGUCCCAUGAU
RNAcentral lists this ribosomal RNA (453 nucleotides) under uncultured organism. RNAcentral describes it as "partial 16S ribosomal RNA". It matches the Rfam family "Bacterial small subunit ribosomal RNA", at positions 332 to 801 of the family's 1533-position model. The record is from RNAcentral.